AUUGAACGCUGGCGGCAUGCCUUACACAUGCAAGUCGAACGGCAGCGCGGGAGCAAUCCUGGCGGCGAGUGGCGAACGGGUGAGUAAUAUAUCGGAACGUGCCCAGUAGUGGGGGAUAGCCCGGCGAAAGCCGGAUUAAUACCGCAUGAGACCUGAGGGUGAAAGCGGGGGAUCGCAAGACCUCGCGCUAUUGGAGCGGCCGAUAUCAGAUUAGCUAGUUGGUGGGGUAAAGGCCUACCAAGGCAACGAUCUGUAGUUGGUCUGAGAGGACGACCAGCCACACUGGGACUGAGACACGGCCCAGACUCCUACGGGAGGCAGCAGUGGGGAAUAUUGGACAAUGGGCGAAAGCCUGAUCCAGCAAUGCCGCGUGAAUGAUGAAGGCCUUAGGGUUGUAAAGUUCUUUUAGUAGGGAAGAUAAUGACGGUACCUACAGAAAAAGUCCCGGCUAACUCCGUG
RNAcentral lists this ribosomal RNA (459 nucleotides) under uncultured bacterium. RNAcentral describes it as "bacterial SSU rRNA". It matches the Rfam family "Bacterial small subunit ribosomal RNA", at positions 30 to 507 of the family's 1533-position model. The record is from RNAcentral.